This is a long non-coding RNA of Homo sapiens (human), 514 nucleotides long. Ensembl annotates it as long intergenic non-protein coding RNA 161. NCBI's taxonomy places the organism in Eukaryota, Metazoa, Chordata, Mammalia, Primates, Hominidae. The record is from Ensembl.
UAAUAACAUCUACCAAACAGUUUACAUUGUGCUAAACAACUUAUGCACAUUAUUUCUUUGAUUCUUUUUAACACAUGGUUGUGGGCUGAAUGGUGUCUCCCAAGAAGUCAUAUGCCGGGAUCCUGUCCCAUAGUGCCUCACAACGUGACAUUGUUUGGAGUUAGGGUUGUUGAAGAUGUCAUUAGUCAAGAUGAGGUCAUACUUGAGUGAGGAAGAAGAGAACUGUAGACAUGCAGCAGCCAUCUUGUGGAUAUGAGGGAAGAGCCAAAUAGACUACAAAUCGGUUAACACAGAGAACUAAAAUUGUGGAGCUACUGAAUGAACCAGCUAUGGAAUUGUCUGUGUGUGGGCAUUCAGAUGGACAUACCGGAUAAAAUUCUGGACUGGUAAGAGUGUGGGGAAAUUGCCAGUCUUAAGCAGUGCUGAUGGAGGUGUGAAUUGGUAAAACAAUUUGAAAAGUAAGUUGCUAGUUUUUAUAAAAUUUUUAAAAAUAAAUGUAUUCUCUGACCCAGUA